AAUAGAUACCCAGGUAGUCCACGCUGUAAACGGUGGGUACUAGGUGUGGGUCCAUUCCACGGGUUCCGUGCCGUAGCUAACGCUUUAAGUACCCCGCCUGGGGAGUACGGCCGCAAGGCUAAAACUCAAAGGAAUUGACGGGGCCCCGCACAAGCGGCGGAGCAUGCGGAUUAAUUCGAUGCAACGCGUAGAACCUUACCUGGGUUUGACAUGGAUCGGGAGCGCUCAGAGAUGGGUGUGCCUCUUUUGGGGUCGGUUCACAGGUGGUGCAUGGCUGUCGUCAGCUCGUGUCGUGAGAUGUUGGGUUAAGUCCCGCAACGAGCGCAACCCUUGUUCACUGUUGCCAGCACGUUAUGGUGGGGACUCAGUGGAGACCGCCGGGGUCAACUCGGAGGAAGGUGGGGAUGACGUCAAGUCAUCAUGCCCCUUAUGUCCAGGGCUUCACGCAUGCUACAAUGGCUGGUACAGAGAGUGGCGAGCCUGUGAGGGUGAGCGAAUCUCGGAAAGCCGGUCUCAGUUCGGAUUGGGGUCUGCUAACG
Molecule: ribosomal RNA, 539 nt
Filed under: uncultured bacterium
Lineage: Bacteria
Description: bacterial SSU rRNA
Rfam family: Bacterial small subunit ribosomal RNA
Source: RNAcentral